UGCGUAGGCGGCGCAGCAAGUCGGGUGUGAAAUCCCCCAGCUCAACUGGGGAAUUGCGCCCGAAACUGCUGUGCUAGAGGAAUAUAGAGGUGAGCGGAACUUAGGGUGGAGCGGUGAAAUGCGUUGAUAUCCUAAGGAACACCGGUGGCGAAAGCGGCUCACUGGGUAUUCUCUGACGCUGAGGACGGAAGCUAGGGGAGCGAACG
This 206-nucleotide ribosomal RNA is filed under the name uncultured bacterium. RNAcentral describes it as "partial 16S ribosomal RNA". It matches the Rfam family "Bacterial small subunit ribosomal RNA", at positions 568 to 774 of the family's 1533-position model. The record is from RNAcentral.